Molecule: non-coding RNA, 46 nt
Organism: Fulmarus glacialis (Northern fulmar)
Lineage: Eukaryota; Metazoa; Chordata; Aves; Procellariiformes; Procellariidae
Source: Rfam
UCAAAGGCUUCUUUUGAAGCCAUUUAUAGGAGAUGUUUGGAUGAAU